AGUGAACGCUGGCGGUAGGCCUACACAUGCAAGUCGAACGGCAGCACAGUAAGCGCUUGCUCUUACGGGUGGCGAGUGGCGGACGGGUGAGGAAUACAUCGGAAUCUACUUUUUCGUGGGGGAUAACGUAGGGAAACUUACGCUAAUACCGCAUACGACCUACGGGUGAAAGCAGGGGAUCUUCGGACCUUGCGCGAUUGAAUGAGCCGAUGUCGGAUUAGCUAGUUGGCGGGGUAAAGGCCCACCAAGGCGACGAUCCGUAGCUGGUCUGAGAGGAUGAUCAGCCACACUGGAACUGAGACACGGUCCAGACUCCUACGGGAGGCAGCAGUGGGGAAUAUUGGACAAUGGGCGCAAGCCUGAUCCAGCCAUACCGCGUGGGUGAAGAAGGCCUUCGGGUUGUAAAGCCCUUUUGUUGGGAAAGAAAAGCAGCAGGUUAAUACCCCGCUGUUCUGACGGUACCCAAAGAAUAAGCACCGGCUAACUUCGUG
This 491-nucleotide ribosomal RNA is filed under the name uncultured bacterium. Its description in RNAcentral is "partial 16S ribosomal RNA". It matches the Rfam family "Bacterial small subunit ribosomal RNA", at positions 29 to 507 of the family's 1533-position model. The record is from RNAcentral.